RNAcentral lists this ribosomal RNA (472 nucleotides) under uncultured bacterium. Its description in RNAcentral is "bacterial SSU rRNA". It matches the Rfam family "Bacterial small subunit ribosomal RNA", at positions 8 to 526 of the family's 1533-position model. The record is from RNAcentral.
AGAGUUUGAUCAUGGCUCAGAACGAACGCUGGCGGCGCGCCUAACACAUGCAAGUCGAACGGUGUCUUCGGACAUAGUGGCGGACGGGUGAGUAACGCGUGAGAAUCUGGCUUCAGGUUGGGGACAACAGAUGGAAACGUCUGCUAAUACCCAAUGUGCCGAGAGGUGAAAGCUUUAUGUGCCUGAAGAUGAGCUCGCGUCCGAUUAGCUAGUUGGAGUGGUAAUGGCACACCAAGGCGACGAUCGGUAGCUGGUCUGAGAGGAUGAUCAGCCACACGGGGACUGAGACACUGCCCGGACUCCUACGGGAGGCUGCAGUAACGAAUAUUCCACGAGGGGCGAAAGCAUGACGGAGCGAUACCGCGUGCAGGAUGAAGCGGCUUCGCCAUGUAAACUGCUGUCAGAGGGAAGAAAUACUGGUCACCCGCAGAGGAAGAGACGGCUAACUCUGUGCCAGCAGCCGCGGUAAUAC